Molecule: ribosomal RNA, 954 nt
Filed under: Triticum aestivum (bread wheat)
Lineage: Eukaryota; Viridiplantae; Streptophyta; Magnoliopsida; Poales; Poaceae
Description: partial small subunit ribosomal RNA
Source: RNAcentral
AUGCGCCUGCGCUGGCAACCCGGUCGGCCAACUCCACGGACGGCGCGAUGGAGCUGCCCCCGGAAGAGUCGUUCGCCCUUCGCCGUCCUCGGCGCGUGCGCGCCGGACAGCCUGCUGAGGUCGCUCCCUGCGGGCGUCGCCGGCGUGGCGGGGUUCUCCCGGCGCCCGCUCUCGCUGCCGUCGCAGCUAGCGUCCCAGCGCGGCUUCGGAGGUAAGUUCGCCCUGUGCCUCCCCGUGUUCGCGAUCUUCGGCGAUUCGCCAGUCAACAUGUCGGCGCCAGGGCAAGCGCCGGGCUACGCCGACUACACGACCAUCAUACCAUACACCCCGCUCCUCACCAACCCGGCGAACCCCGCGCCCGCGGGAUAUUACAUCCCCGUCAAGGGCAUCUCCGUGUCGUGGCACGGGGCCAACACCGAGGCGAUCCUCCCCAGCGCCGCGCUCGAGCUCGACACCGCGGCCGGCACGGGCGGCGUCGUGCUCAGCACCGCCACGCCCUACAUGAUCAUGCGCCCCGACCUGUUCGACGCGUUUGCCAAGGCCUUCGACGACGUCAUUAUCAGGGGAAAGCGUCCGAUGACGACCGUGGAGCGCGUGCUGCCGGCGCCGAAGCCGUUCAAGCUGUGCUACAGCGGCGGGUUCCCGCUGCUGAAGCGCCCGGUGCUACCGGACAUGCCGUACAUCAACCUGGAGCUGGGCGCCGGUGCCACGGGGAACUGGACGCUGUUCAACAACAACUACAUGGUGCAGGUGGACGGGGCUUUGUGCCUGGCGAUCCUGCCGACGGGGGCCGGCGGCAUGCCGGUGGACGGUGAGCCGGCGGUGGUGAUAGGCGCGACGCAGCUGGAGAACAACCUGCUGGUGUUCGACCUGGAGAAGCAGGUGCUCGGGUUCAGCGAGCUGCUGGACUUCUCCUUGUCCAGUUGUAUAAGCUCCACGUUCUUCAGGAACUAG